Long non-coding RNA from Equus caballus (horse), 1538 nucleotides. RefSeq lists it as uncharacterized. The record is from RefSeq and is a predicted model, not a curated record. NCBI's taxonomy places the organism in Eukaryota, Metazoa, Chordata, Mammalia, Perissodactyla, Equidae.
AUAAUAAAAUGAAUUAAGAUUGUAUCUACUGAACAAGAAAGAAUGUGUAUUAUCACAAAAAAUGGUAAAAACUUUUCUAGACUUUCACUCUGUAGAAUUUUGUCUUGGAAUUCAGGACGAGAAAAUUCUUUCUUCUUUUUUUUAUUUUUUCAUUUCCGCCUUCUUGAUGUGUAAUUUACAGAAAAUUUUUGAGUUUCAAAUCAUGUGUAGCUUUGUUCUGUUUUCUCUUUGGGUGUUUUAACGUACUCUAGAUAAUAUUUCCAUCAGCUGUCAGUAAGCUACAGAUGUGGACACAUCCUGCUUGGAACCCUCCUGGGAGUCACCCUUGUUACUGAACCAGAUAAAUUGAGGAAGAAUGGAGAGGAAUGCCAACUACACUCACCACCACCUACUGUGUUCCGGACCAUCCACUGUGCAGACUCUUGAGUAAAAUUUAAUAAAAAUAUAUCCACGCCUAAAUACUAUUCACACACUUCUCCAUCAGGGGGCGUGGAGUUAGCAGGGAGAACCCUGGUCAGAAAAUAUGAAGACCAAGUUUCCUGCUCUAAAUUUAUCACUAAAUUGCUAUGUGACCUCAAGCAAAUCACUUUAUGAAACAAGAUGGACAUGAUUUUUCCUUAUUCCCUCCUGCCAACUUACUGGCCCACUUAUUCCUUACUGGCCUACCAGAAGCGAGUGAAAGAGGCUGCUUGCCAGGAGGUGAGAGGAACCAGAGGACAGUGGUAAUGCAAUGCGUUUUGGGUUUCAAAUACCAAAAUUGGGACAGUGGAAAAUUCCUCAAGUGAUUUGGACGACCAGUAAUAUCGACUGUAACUACUGGGGAUUUCUUAGAACAGUUCUCAAAGGAAUACACCUUACAUUAUGACCCAGGACACAAACAUACACAAAUGUCUACAAACGUACAUAAGUAUGUUAUUAUUGCAUUUUAUUAUGCAAUAGAAUUUUCUAUUCUGUGAUGUUUUGGUUUGUGUUUGUUUUUUAAUGCUUGGCUUCCAACAGCCGUUUCAAAGCAUUGUCUUGGGCUACAGGGAGUAGGGUCAGCAGCUGUCUCCUUUAGUCUGGGGUGUGGAUUUUAGAACAGAUGUUUGUUAUUCGCUCCCAAGCUUCCUAGGCAAUUUGCCAGUGUGGUUGUCCUGCUGUUGGUCUUUGAGUGUUUGGCCCAUCUGUCCUGCAUCUUGAGGAGAGUGGGGUUAGAAGUGGGAACAAGGAGAGAAAGCUCAUUAAACAUGGCUCGUUCUAGGAUUCAGAAUGUGGUGGGUCUGCACUGAAUUUCCCUGUCAGAGAGAGGAUUCUUUAAAAGAAAUUAGAAUCUAUGAUUCCAAAAUUCCUAAAAAAAAAAUUAAGCAAUUCAGAAAUGUAGUCAUCUCCUGCUAUAUUUUUUUAAUUUUAUUUUUUACUGCUUUAGAUCAGUAAUCUGUUACUGAAAAUCAGUUGUUCUGCAUGAACGACUCUUAGAUUAUUUAUCUUAGAAAACUCAUAAUUGUAAAUUAUUUCUCUGCCCCGUUGAGAUGUAAAUCUUUUAAAAAGCCUCUUGUCAG